GAUGAACGCUGGCGGCGUGCCUAAUACAUGCAAGUCGAGCGAACGGACGAGAAGCUUGCUUCUCUGAUGUUAGCGGCGGACGGGUGAGUAACACGUGGAUAACCUACCUAUAAGACUGGGAUAACUUCGGGAAACCGGAGCUAAUACCGGAUAAUAUUUUGAACCGCAUGGUUCAAAAGUGAAAGACGGUCUUGCUGUCACUUAUAAAUGGAUCCGCGCUGCAUUAGCUAGUUGGUAAGGUAACGGCUUACCAAGGCAACGAUGCAUAGCCGACCUGAGAGGGUGAUCGGCCACACUGGAACUGAGACACGGUCCAGACUCCUACGGGAGGCAGCAGUAGGGAAUCUUCCGCAAUGGGCGAAAGCCUGACGGAGCAACGCCGCGUGAGUGAUGAAGGUCUUCGGAUCGUAAAACUCUGUUAUUAGGGAAGAACAUAUGUGUAAGUAACUGUGCACAUCUUGACGGUACCUAAUCAGAAAGCCACGGCUAACUACGUGCCAGCAGCCGCGGUAAUACGUAGGUGGCAAGCGUUAUCCGGAAUUAUUGGGCGUAAAGCGCGCGUAGGCGGUUUUUUAAGUCUGAUGUGAAAGCCCACGGCUCAACCGUGGAGGGUCAUUGGAAACUGGAAAACUUGAGUGCAGAAGAGGAAAGUGGAAUUCCAUGUGUAGCGGUGAAAUGCGCAGAGAUAUGGAGGAACACCAGUGGCGAAGGCGACUUUCUGGUCUGUAACUGACGCUGAUGUGCGAAAGCGUGGGGAUCAAACAGGAUUAGAUACCCUGGUAGUCCACGCCGUAAACGAUGAGUGCUAAGUGUUAGGGGGUUUCCGCCCCUUAGUGCUGCAGCUAACGCAUUAAGCACUCCGCCUGGGGAGUACGACCGCAAGGUUGAAACUCAAAGGAAUUGACGGGGACCCGCACAAGCGGUGGAGCAUGUGGUUUAAUUCGAAGCAACGCGAAGAACCUUACCAAAUCUUGACAUCCUUUGACAACUCUAGAGAUAGAGCUUUCCCCUUCGGGGGACAAAGUGACAGGUGGUGCAUGGUUGUCGUCAGCUCGUGUCGUGAGAUGUUGGGUUAAGUCCCGCAACGAGCGCAACCCUUAAGCUUAGUUGCCAUCAUUAAGUUGGGCACUCUAAGUUGACUGCCGGUGACAAACCGGAGGAAGGUGGGGAUGACGUCAAAUCAUCAUGCCCCUUAUGAUUUGGGCUACACACGUGCUACAAUGGACAAUACAAAGGGCAGCGAAACCGCGAGGUCAAGCAAAUCCCAUAAAGUUGUUCUCAGUUCGGAUUGUAGUCUGCAACUCGACUACAUGAAGCUGGAAUCGCUAGUAAUCGUAGAUCAGCAUGCUACGGUGAAUACGUUCCCGGGUCU
RNAcentral lists this ribosomal RNA (1372 nucleotides) under uncultured bacterium. RNAcentral describes it as "bacterial SSU rRNA". It matches the Rfam family "Bacterial small subunit ribosomal RNA", at positions 28 to 1381 of the family's 1533-position model. The record is from RNAcentral.